Molecule: long non-coding RNA, 888 nt
Organism: Labeo rohita (rohu)
Lineage: Eukaryota; Metazoa; Chordata; Actinopteri; Cypriniformes; Cyprinidae
Exons: 5
Source: RefSeq, a predicted model, not a curated record
AGCUGCUACUGGGCAUGCGCACAUAAAUCUAACGUUAUUUUUGUCACACUGUAGAUCAAUAAUACUUUUUUUUUUUUUUAUUAUUAUUAUAGUAAGGGCUACGUUUAUGGUUGGGGUAGGUGUAGACGUUAUAAAACACAGUCUAAUAGCUAGAACAAUUCAUUUCAUUGUUAGUUUCCGGUCGGAGUUGUACCCCUUGGGAGAAACGAGUCUUUUCGAAGCUUCAGCCUUUGUGAACACUGAAUAUCUAAGAUGGUACAUUCGAGAUGAUGUGAAUACUGAUGUAACUGUCCUGUUGUUGAUGGGCCACUUUAAAAGAAGCAGAGGAUUUGCUGUUCCUUUUAGCCAGUGUCACAACAACUGCAGCAGAUGCAAAGACCAGGCUUUCACUACUCUGAUCAUGCUUGGAGAUUCAAUUCUACACAGCAAAAAAAAAUGGAUACUGCUGAAAGCAAAGUCUUCUUUCCUGUGACUGACCUACCAGAUAUGUCCUCUGCAUUUGCUGUUCUCUUCAUUUAUGUGCUUAACAUCAAGUACUAAGUGGAAGCCACUACUUUGUUGUUUAUUUAGAGGUUCAUUGUGAGGAUAAAUCUUGACACACCUCAAGUGCUCUGCAAAAUUCCAGAUCAGCAAACGAAGUGGGAAGAUACACAUUUUUUACAAAUAUUUAUGUAUACAUUCUUGAAAAAUGUUUCUUGUAUAACAAGUUUGAGUUUUAUUUGAAGCUUCACUGUCAUUGCUGUUCACUGUUAUCAUAGUAUGUUGUGCUUAGGAUAAAUGUUAAGAAUUUUUCUAGCUAUAAUAGUUAAAAUGGUAUGUGCUGUAAUAUAUAUAAUAGUUUGUAAUACUGUUUUGUUUGAGUCUUAAAUGAAUCUGAAAAUUGUAAUG